RNAcentral lists this ribosomal RNA (430 nucleotides) under Acidobacteriota bacterium. RNAcentral describes it as "Acidobacteria bacterium partial 16S ribosomal RNA". It matches the Rfam family "Bacterial small subunit ribosomal RNA", at positions 355 to 776 of the family's 1533-position model. The record is from RNAcentral. Lineage: Bacteria; Pseudomonadati; Acidobacteriota.
UGGGGAAUAUUGGACAAUGGGCGAAAGCCUGAUCCAGCCAUGCCGCGUGUGUGAAGAAGGCCUUUUGGUUGUAAAGCACUUUAAGCGAGGAGGAGGCUACUUGGAUUAAUACUCUAGGAUAGUGGACGUUACUCGCAGAAUAAGCACCGGCUAACUCUGUGCCAGCAGCCGCGGUAAUACAGAGGGUGCGAGCGUUAAUCGGAUUUACUGGGCGUAAAGCGUGCGUAGGCGGCUUUUUAAGUCGGAUGUGAAAUCCCUGAGCUUAACUUAGGAAUUGCAUUCGAUACUGGGAAGCUAGAGUAUGGGGGAGGAUGGUAGAAUUCCAGGUGUAGCGGUGAAAUGCGUAGAGAUCUGGAGGAAUACCGAUGGCGAAGGCAGCCAUCUGGCCUAAUACUGACGCUGAGGUACGAAAGCAUGGGGAGCAAACAGG